CACGUCAGCGCGCUUUGCUGACGUGGCAACAAAUCACGUCAUAGAGGGCGCGAUUUGUUGCCAUGUCAGCAUACCGCGCUGCCGUGG
Gossypium raimondii (Peruvian cotton) is the source of this 87-nucleotide non-coding RNA. NCBI's taxonomy places the organism in Eukaryota, Viridiplantae, Streptophyta, Magnoliopsida, Malvales, Malvaceae. The record is from Rfam.